AGGGAACGCUGGCGGUAGGCCUAACACAUGCAAGUCGAACGGCAGCACAGUAAGAGCUUGCUCUUACGGGUGGCGAGUGGCGGACGGGUGAGGAAUACAUCGGAAUCUACUUUUUCGUGGGGGAUAACGUAGGGAAACUUACGCUAAUACCGCAUACGACCUACGGGUGAAAGCAGGGGAUCUUCGGACCUUGCGCGAUUGAAUGAGCCGAUGUCGGAUUAGCUAGUUGGCGGGGUAAAGGCCCACCAAGGCGACGAUCCGUAGCUGGUCUGAGAGGAUGAUCAGCCACACUGGAACUGAGACACGGUCCAGACUCCUACGGGAGGCAGCAGUGGGGAAUAUUGGACAAUGGGCGCAAGCCUGAUCCAGCCAUACCGCGUGGGUGAAGAAGGCCUUCGGGUUGUAAAGCCCUCUUGUUGGGAAAGAAAAGCAGCAGGUUAAUACCCCGCUGUUCUGACGGUACCCAAAGAAUAAGCACCGGCUAACUUCGUG
RNAcentral lists this ribosomal RNA (492 nucleotides) under uncultured bacterium. RNAcentral describes it as "partial 16S ribosomal RNA". It matches the Rfam family "Bacterial small subunit ribosomal RNA", at positions 31 to 507 of the family's 1533-position model. The record is from RNAcentral.